UACGAGGGGGGCGAGCGUUGUUCGGAAUUAUUGGGCGUAAAGGGUGCGUAGGCGGUUUGGUAAGUCUGAUGUGAAAUCUAUGGGCUCAACUCAUAGUCUGCAUCGGAAACUGCCGGGCUUGAGUGUGGGAGAGGUGACUGGAAUUCCUGGUGUAGCGGUGGAAUGCGCAGAUAUCAGGAGGAACACCGGUGGCGAAGGCGGGUCUCUGGGCCGAUACUGACACUGAGAAGCGAAAGCGUGGGGAGCGAACGGG
Molecule: ribosomal RNA, 253 nt
Filed under: uncultured bacterium
Lineage: Bacteria
Description: partial 16S ribosomal RNA
Rfam family: Bacterial small subunit ribosomal RNA
Source: RNAcentral